RNAcentral lists this ribosomal RNA (378 nucleotides) under Bacillus marcorestinctum. RNAcentral's name for it is "bacterial SSU rRNA". Lineage: Bacteria; Bacillati; Bacillota; Bacilli; Caryophanales; Bacillaceae. The record is from RNAcentral.
GGCUUCUCCUUCGGGAGCAGAGUGACAGGUGGUGCAUGGUUGUCGUCAGCUCGUGUUGUGAGAUGUUGGGUUAAGUCCCGCAACGAGCGCAACCCUUGAUCUUAGUUGCCAUCAUUAAGUUGGGCACUCUAAGGUGACUGCCGGUGACAAACCGGAGGAAGGUGGGGAUGACGUCAAAUCAUCAUGCCCCUUAUGACCUGGGCUACACACGUGCUACAAUGGACGGUACAAAGAGCUGCAAGACCGCGAGGUGGAGCUAAUCUCAUAAAACCGUUCUCAGUUCGGAUUGUAGGCUGCAACUCGCCUACAUGAAGCUGGAAUCGCUAKKAAUCGCGGAUCAGCAUGCCGCGGUGAAUACGUUCCCGGGUCUUGUACACA